GUUUGAUCCUGGCUCAGAUUGAACGCUGGCGGCAGGCUUAACACAUGCAAGUCGAGCGGGAAUAGGUAGCUUGCUACCGAUUUCUAGCGGCGGACGGGUGAGUAAUGCUUAGGAAUCUGCCUAUUAGUGGGGGACAACAUUUCGAAAGGGAUGCUAAUACCGCAUACGUCCUACGGGAGAAAGCAGGGGAUCUUCGGACCUUGCGCUAAUAGAUGAGCCUAAGUCGGAUUAGCUAGUUGGUGGGGUAAAGGCCUACCAAGGCGACGAUCUGUAGCGGGUCUGAGAGGAUGAUCCGCCACACUGGGACUGAGACACGGCCCAGACUCCUACGGGAGGCAGCAGUGGGGAAUAUUGGACAAUGGGGGGAACCCUGAUCCAGCCAUGCCGCGUGUGUGAAGAAGGCCUUUUGGUUGUAAAGCACUUUAAGCGAGGAGGAGGCUACUCUAGUUAAUACCUAGGGAUAGUGGACGUUACUCGCAGAAUAAGCACCGGCUAACUCUGUGCCAGCAGCCGCGGUAAUACAGAGGGUGCGAGCGUUAAUCGGAUUUACUGGGCGUAAAGCGUGCGUAGGCGGCUUUUUAAGUCGGAUGUGAAAUCCCUGAGCUUAACUUGGGAAUUGCAUUCGAUACUGGGAAGCUAGAGUAUG
This 646-nucleotide ribosomal RNA is filed under the name Acinetobacter amyesii. Its description in RNAcentral is "bacterial SSU rRNA". It matches the Rfam family "Bacterial small subunit ribosomal RNA", at positions 11 to 650 of the family's 1533-position model. The record is from RNAcentral. Lineage: Bacteria; Pseudomonadati; Pseudomonadota; Gammaproteobacteria; Moraxellales; Moraxellaceae.